This 268-nucleotide ribosomal RNA is filed under the name Geobacillus thermoparaffinivorans. RNAcentral's name for it is "partial 16S ribosomal RNA". It matches the Rfam family "Bacterial small subunit ribosomal RNA", at positions 552 to 799 of the family's 1533-position model. The record is from RNAcentral. Lineage: Bacteria; Bacillati; Bacillota; Bacilli; Caryophanales; Anoxybacillaceae.
UCAGUACGAGCGAUCGGCAUAUUGGGCGUAAGCGCGCGCAGGCGGUCCCUUAAGUCUGAUGUGAAAGCCCACGGCUCAACCGUGGAGGGUCAUUGGAAACUGGGGGACUUGAGUGCAGGAGAGGAGAGCGGAAUUCCACGUGUAGCGGUGAAAUGCGUAGAGAUGUGGAGGAACACCAGUGGCGAAGGCGGCUCUCUGGCCUGCAACUGACGCUGAGGCGCGAAAGCGUGGGGAGCAAACAGGAUUAGAUACCCCCCGUAGUCCUGAG